RNAcentral lists this ribosomal RNA (565 nucleotides) under uncultured Glomus. Its description in RNAcentral is "SSU rRNA". It matches the Rfam family "Eukaryotic small subunit ribosomal RNA", at positions 546 to 1106 of the family's 1831-position model. Lineage: Eukaryota; Fungi; Glomeromycota; Glomeromycetes; Glomerales; Glomeraceae. The record is from RNAcentral.
AAUUGGAGGGCAAGUCUGGUGCCAGCAGCCGCGGUAAUUCCAGCUCCAAUAGCGUAUAUUAAAGUUGUUGCAGUUAAAAAGCUCGUAGUUGAAUUUCGGGAUUGACGUGAUGGUCGUGCCUUACGGGGUAUGAACUGUUGCUGUUGAUUUCUCACCUUCUGGAGAAACUUGAUGUCCUUAAUUGGGUGUCUUGCGGAUCCAGGACCUUUACCUUGAAAAAAUUAGAGUGUUUAAAGCAGGCAUUUUGCUCGAAUACAUUAGCAUGGAAUAAUAGAAUAGGACGGCAUGGUUCUAUUUUGUUGGUUUCUAGGAUCACCGUAAUGAUUAAUAGGGAUAGUUGGGGGCAUUAGUAUUCAAUUGUCAGAGGUGAAAUUCUUGGAUUUAUUGAAGACUAACUACUGCGAAAGCACUUGCCAAGGAUGUUUUCAUUAAUCAAGAACGAAAGUUAGGGGAUCGAAGACGAUCAGAUACCGUCGUAGUCUUAACCAUAAACUAUGCCGACUAGGAAUCAGACGAUGUUAAUUUUUUAAUGACUUGUUUGGCACCUUACGGGAAACCAAAGUGU